Molecule: ribosomal RNA, 253 nt
Filed under: uncultured bacterium
Lineage: Bacteria
Description: partial 16S ribosomal RNA
Rfam family: Bacterial small subunit ribosomal RNA
Source: RNAcentral
GACGAACCGAGCGAACGUUAUUCGGAAUCACUGGGCUUAAAGGGUGCGUAGGCGGGCUGUCAAGUCUGGGGUGAAAUCCCACGGCUCAACCGUGGAACUGCCUCAGAUACUGAUGGCCUCGAGGGAGGUAGGGGCAUGCGGAACUGUAGGUGGAGCGGUGAAAUGCGUUGAUAUCUACAGGAACUCCGGUGGCGAAAGCGGCGUGCUGGACCUCUUCUGACGCUGAGGCACGAAAGCUAGGGGAGCAAACGGG